GGUGGAUAGAAGUUCAGUACAGAAAACGAGUACACCCAAAGCCUUCUACAAAUUUCAUUUUGUGCUUUCCAUUUGGCAUUUUCCACAUAUAUUGUGAGAGAAUGUUCUGUUAGGUUUUGAGACCAUGGACUAGACUGUUCACUUCCAACCUCCACCACUACUACGACGACGGAGGACAAUCUUAACCUUCCUGUACCAUUACCACCAUUACCAGACCAUUAUCAGAUCUGAAGAGUGGAGAAUAGCACCUGCUUCUAAUUCUCUCAUGUUUAAGACCUAUGCAAAGUUGAUGGAUUUGGUCCUGAGAUUCUUGCUAAUAGGGACUAUGGUUGUGCAAUGUCUACACUGAUGCACUCUCUGCAGAUAAGGUAAUCUUUGGUGA
Long non-coding RNA from Vigna unguiculata (cowpea), 382 nucleotides. RefSeq lists it as uncharacterized. The record is from RefSeq and is a predicted model, not a curated record. Lineage: Eukaryota; Viridiplantae; Streptophyta; Magnoliopsida; Fabales; Fabaceae.